UACAGAGGUGGCAAGCGUUGUCCGGAUUUACUGGGUGUAAAGGGUGCGUAGGCGGGUGUGUAAGUCGGGGGUUAAAGCCUCUUGCUCAACAAGAGAAAUGCCUUCGAUACUGCACGCCUCGAGUGCCGAAGAGGAAACUGGAAUUUCCGGUGUAGCGGUGGAAUGUGUAGAGAUCGGAAAGAACACCAGUGGCGAAGGCAGGUUUCUGGUCGGUAACUGACGCUGAUGCACGAAAGCGUGGGGAGCAAACAGG
Molecule: ribosomal RNA, 253 nt
Filed under: uncultured bacterium
Lineage: Bacteria
Description: partial 16S ribosomal RNA
Rfam family: Bacterial small subunit ribosomal RNA
Source: RNAcentral